RNA transcript from Ctenopharyngodon idella (grass carp), 3673 nucleotides. It is a transcript of the gene named phospholipid scramblase 2-like, with no coding region annotated. Lineage: Eukaryota; Metazoa; Chordata; Actinopteri; Cypriniformes; Xenocyprididae. The transcript is spliced from 3 exons. The record is from RefSeq and is a predicted model, not a curated record.
CAAGAUUCAACUUUCUAUUGACUUUUAUCGUUUUUAAAUUGACCAAAGAUAUUUUCUGUCCUCUAACCUUAAACAUAACAUUCACAACCACAUAAAACUUUUAGCAUUUUAUAGAAUAUAUUUAUAAUGGUAUUUAGUAUGCUUACUAAGCCAUUGAUCUUGUUGCCUGACCCACAUUGGCUUUAGGUGAUUUCAGGUUGUGCAAUUUUUCUGGGGAAAUUUGAUCCUGACAGUGAAGGAAAAAUAACUGACCCCCACUAUUUGAAAUGUGACAACACUGAAUUUUACAUUCAGUGUAUCUUAAAGGGUUAGUUCACCCAAAAAUGAAAAUUCUGACUAGACCCUCAUGUCUUCGUUGACCUUCGUCUUCAUCUUCAGAACACAAAUUAAGAUAUUUUUGAUAAAAAAUACACUGUUGGCUCAGUGAGGCCUCCAUUGACAGCAUGAUAAUUAACUCUUCCAGAUGCUUGAAAGCUACUGUGGCAUUCUGCUAUCAAAAGCUUAGCACAAUUAAGCCAAUUAUGGCAACAACUAGACUACGCCACCCCAGAAAUUGGCCGGGGACCCACAGGUACACGAAGUACCACAAGCACACAGAUACGUAGUGGCUGAGACAGGUAUCAGACGACAAUGUAAUGUUUCACACAAUUUUAUUUAAUAAACAUCCAAGAAAAUACAAGACCAGUCUCUUUAAUGCAUAAAAAUUAAAAAAGAGUACAAUAACUCAUAAAACUUCUUGCACAUCCAUACAAACAUGAUUUUACCACUUCAGAACUGGGGAAUUCGUCUUGCCUAUCGGAUAAACACAGCAACCACUCGUGCUCUCACAACACAGCACCAAAACCCCUGUUGUGAACACUGCAGACGACAGCCGAACCAACACCACACGCAAAGGACACCGGCUAGUACUUGUACCCCAAUUCUGAAGGGAACAAGAAAACAGGAUGAGACAAGCACACACACACACUUUCCACGUUAUGGUUUGGCCAGAAACACUUAUCACAUGCGGUCAGAGGAAUCAAUGUCACCAAACAAUGGUGACCGUCUUAGCUGGUGUUCUUUGGCUGUUGAGAGCACGAAAUCAUCCCUUGUGUAUUCUUGUCUUGUCUUUGGUACAACUACCCGAAAAAAACCUAAUUACAGUAACGUGAGUGGAAAGAAAACAAUUGCCUACCCUACACUCUCAGAAAAAAAGGUACAAAAUCUGUCACAUGGGCGGUACCUUUUCAAAAGGUACACAUUUGUUCAUUUUAGCUACUAAUAUACACACUUUAAGUACUAAUAUGUACCUUUAAGGUACAAAAGUGUACCUUUUGAAAAUUGCAUUUAUUUUUUUAUAAAAUAAAUAAAAUGUACAAUGAUCACAAAGUGCUAUCAUUUCCCACAUUUAGACAAAAAACAAAAAGACAUAACAUUAUAAGCACUGACAGGUGAAGUGAAUAACACUGAUUAUCUCUGUUAGGGUGGAUAUAUUAGGCAGCAAGUGAACAUUUUGUCCUCAAAGUUGAUGUGUUAAGCUGCGUUUACACUUGGCAUUAAUAUGCGAUCACCGUGAUCCGAUCAAGCAGAUCAGAUCAUUAGCUAAUCAGGACACGGCGCGUUUAUAUUUGUUCACAUUAAGUGGCCUCUGUAUCUGGAUAACUGAUCGGAUUUCUGUUUCCCGCUCAAUAUUUAAAUUAGGCGCGUUUGAAAGGCAGACGCUUCAAAUGGCUUCAUAGCGUAAAACAACUUUCACUUUAGCCUCUAUCAAUGCAGCGCACACAGCAUGGAAUUUUUGUGAUUUAUUCCACAAAAGCACAAUCGAUCACAAAUAGAGAACUUAAUCUACCAAUUUAAGUUUCCCAACAUUAAUCUUGUAUGGUAAAAAAAAAAUAUUUCGACGCAUUUCAUGAUUGAAAGGAUCGCGUUUACAUUACACUGAGAUCCGACCACAAUGCGUCCUCGACUACCUCCGAACCAGGACACGUUGAUCACAAACACGUUUACACUUGUCUUUCCAAUGCGUAUGUGGAUAACAUCCAGAUACAGGUCGCAUGUUAAUGCCAAGUGUAAACGCAGCCUUAGAAGCAGGAAAAAUGGACAAGCGUCAGAGCAUCUCCAAAACUGCAGCUCUUGUGGGGUGUUCAAGAAGUUAAUGCUGGUUCUGAUAGAAAUGUGUCAGAAUACACAGUGCAUCUCAGUUUGUUGCACAUGGGGCUGCAUAGCCGCAGACCAGUCAGGGUGCCCGUGCUGACCCCUGUCCACCGCCGAAAGCACCAACAGUGGGCAUGUGAUUCAUCAGACCAGACCACCUUCUUCCAUUGCUCCGUGGUCCAGUUCUGAUGCUCACGUGUCCACUGUUGGAGCUCUGCAUUGUUGCAGACCAUGUACAUCCUUUCAUGGAAACGGUAUUCCCUGGUGGCUGUGGCCUCUUUCAGCAGGAUAAUGCUCCGGCCACAAAGCAAAAAUAGUUCAGGAAUGUUUUGAGGAGCACAACAACGAGUUUGAGGUGUUGACUUGACCUCCAAAUUCACCAGAUCUCAAUCCAAUCGAGCAUCUGUGGAAUAUGUUGAACAAACAAGUCCGAUCCAUGGAGGCUCCACCUCGCAACUUAGAGGGCUUAAAGGAUCUGCUGCUAACAUCUUGGUGCCAGAUACCACAGCACACCUUCAGGGCUCUAGUGGAGUCCAUGCCUCGACGGGUCAGGGCUGUUUUAGCAGCAAAAGGGGGACCAACACAAUAUUAGGUGGUCAUAAUGUUAUGCCUGAUCGGUGUAUAUUUAACGGUGUAAUUUCUAUACCGUUUACACACAGCUGGUGACUCUGAAUGAGGCAGUGAAAGACAGACCAUUUGGCAAGAUCUUCAAACCCUUCUGUACCAGAUGCCCAAACGCAGGUGUGGAUUUUGUGGUGAAGUUUCCGAGGAACCUGGAAGUUAAAAUGAAAGCUACUCUACUGGGGGCCUGCAUUCUCAUUGACUGUUUGUAUUAUGAAAAGAUACAAAUACCAUUUCUACUGCGGAGAUGUAUUCAGAUACCUACUCCAGAAUGAAGACAGAAGAAAGACAAAUGUCUGAUGACUACUUGCCAAAUUAUCCUCCAAUGAAGGCUGAAGAGAAAAGAAUCAUAGACCAGAAUAUGGCCACAAAUUGCUUUUUUAAUAUUGCAUCUCUUGCAAAAAAAAAAAAAAAAAAAAAUUCACAUGGCAAAUGCUGUCAAAGUAGCUAACAAUAUACUAUCUCUUUUUAUCUCUUGUUAUUUGACAAAAUACAAAAUACACAUUAUCAUAUUUAGUUUCUGCCUAUAAUUGCACAUUGAUUGAAAAAUGUGUUACAGAAGCAAUAAUUUCUUCAGUUUUAUGAUUUACAGUUGUGUGGUUUUCUGUAGUUUCAGUAAAAGUGAAUAUAAACUAACAACCUCAAUGUUUUGCCUGAUAAGGACAAAUGGUUGAUCAUAAAACAUUCAGUAGAGAAUUAUAAAUACGUAGCUUGCUGUUUAUGAGUAAGAACUGUUUGUAAACAUGCACAAUUUUAUCCAAUAAAACAUUGAUUCGUUUGUCAAGGGCUUGUGUUCAUGUAACCCACAACUAAUUCAUUUGUUUGUUCGUUCAUUCACUCAUUCAAAAGGACAAUACAAAUAAUCUAUACAACUAUAAACUGUUUUUGUCUUGCUGUAACAUGUCUGUCAACAACUGUA